Non-coding RNA from Agelaius phoeniceus (red-winged blackbird), 820 nucleotides. NCBI's taxonomy places the organism in Eukaryota, Metazoa, Chordata, Aves, Passeriformes, Icteridae. The record is from RefSeq and is a predicted model, not a curated record.
UGGAGAUGUCUGUGUUUCCAGGCCCAUGGGGAUCACCAGGUCCAUGGAGGUGUCUGUGUUCCCAGGCCCAUGGACAUGUUCAUGUUCCCCUGGUCCAUGGAGAUGUCCAUGUUCCUCAGUACCCUCAUAGCAGCAUUAGCCAGGACUCCCUGUUUGUUUUGUCCCAAGCCUUCAGUCCUGUUUUGCUGCCACCACAAGUGCCCAGUGAGGCUGCAGGCUCCCUGCUGGCCGUGUCCCUGCUCCCAGGGUGGGGUGUGGUGUCACAUCCCUGCCUGGGCACAGACACCUCGGCAGCCCCACAAACCUCUGGUGCCUUCCCAGUCGCUGAGCUCCUCUGGGGUGAUCUCCAGGCUGUGCUGCCAGCCAGCCUGGGCUGUCCCUGGCUAUCUCCUGCUGCCAGGACAGUUUCCUCUUCCCUUGCCUUGUCACUUUGCUGUGACAGGCACGAACAACCCGGCCUCCAGAUGAAGGCAAUACUGACAGCAGAAAGUCGGGAAAGAUUUGCAUUAUCCUUGUUCAAAUUUGGCUGGAACUGUCAGGUUUCAUAACGAGUGUUUAGGACAGAACCCCAGCUCAGGGUGGGGAGGACAAGUAGGAGUGAUAAACACAGAUGGCUCUUGUUGUGCAGCUCCUUCUGGAAGUCUGGAGAAAUCGCUGCUGGUGAGCUGAGGAUCUCAUUGGGAUGGGCAGUGGGGGAAGGUGCUGGAACCAGGAGCUUGUAUGGAAUGAAUGACACUUUAUAAAACUGUGAUUUCUUGAAGUUAACAUUUUUGACCUGCAUUUUCACAGGGAAAAAAAAAAUAAAGCUAUAAAAAGAGAA